GACGAACGCUGGCGGCGUGCCUAAUACAUGCAAGUUGAGCGCUGAAGGUUGGUACUUGUACCAACUGGAUGAGCAGCGAACGGGUGAGUAACGCGUGGGGAAUCUGCCUUUGAGCGGGGGACAACAUUUGGAAACGAAUGCUAAUACCGCAUAAAAACUUUAAACACAAGUUUUAAGUUUGAAAGAUGCAAUUGCAUCACUCAAAGAUGAUCCCGCGUUGUAUUAGCUAGUUGGUGAGGUAAAGGCUCACCAAGGCGAUGAUACAUAGCCGACCUGAGAGGGUGAUCGGCCAAAUUGGGACGGGGACACGGCCCAAACUCCUUCGGGAGGCAGCAGUAGGGAAUCUUCGGAAAUAGACGAAAGUCUGACCGAGCAACGCCGCGGGAGUGAAGAAGGGUUUCGGAUCGUAAAACUCGGUUGGUAGAGAAGAACGUUGGUGAGAGUGGAAAGCUCAUCAAGUGACGGUAACUACACAGAAAGGGACGGCUAACUACGUG
Molecule: ribosomal RNA, 497 nt
Filed under: uncultured bacterium
Lineage: Bacteria
Description: partial 16S ribosomal RNA
Rfam family: Bacterial small subunit ribosomal RNA
Source: RNAcentral